UACGUAGGGCGCAAGCGUUGUCCGGAAUUAUUGGGCGUAAAGAGCUCGUAGGCGGUUUGUCGCGUCUGUCGUGAAAGCUUGGGGCUUAACCCCAAGUCUGCGGUGGAUACGGGCAGACUAGAGGCAGGUAGGGGAGAACGGAAUUCCCGGUGUAGCGGUGAAAUGCGUAGAUAUCGUGAGGAAGACCAGUGGCGAAGGCGAAUCUCUGGACAGAUCCUGACGCUGAGGCACGAAGGCUAGGGGAGCAAACGGG
RNAcentral lists this ribosomal RNA (253 nucleotides) under uncultured bacterium. Its description in RNAcentral is "partial 16S ribosomal RNA". It matches the Rfam family "Bacterial small subunit ribosomal RNA", at positions 524 to 776 of the family's 1533-position model. The record is from RNAcentral.